CCAACGGCCCUCUUUAGGGCCACAAAUUUAUCAGAGAAUCCAGCU
This is a non-coding RNA of Caenorhabditis japonica, 45 nucleotides long. Lineage: Eukaryota; Metazoa; Nematoda; Chromadorea; Rhabditida; Rhabditidae. The record is from Rfam.